RNAcentral lists this non-coding RNA (30 nucleotides) under Rattus norvegicus (Norway rat). Lineage: Eukaryota; Metazoa; Chordata; Mammalia; Rodentia; Muridae. The record is from RNAcentral.
UGAUGGUUGUAUUGUCGUUUGCAGCAAGCA